CCCUACGGGGGGCAGCAGUGAGGAAUAUUGGUCAAUGGCCGAGAGGCUGAACCAGCCAAGUCGCGUGAGGGAUGACGGCCCUACGGGUUGUAAACCUCUUUUGCCGGGGAGCAAAGAGCGGGACGCGUCCCGCCUCGAGAGUACCCGGAGAAAAAGCAUCGGCUAACUCCGUGCCAGCAGCCGCGGUAAUACGGAGGAUGCGAGCGUUAUCCGGAUUUAUUGGGUUUAAAGGGUGCGUAGGCGGGCUUUUAAGUCAGCGGUAAAAAUUCGGGGCUCAACCCCGUCCGGCCGUUGAAACUGGGGGC
RNAcentral lists this ribosomal RNA (305 nucleotides) under uncultured bacterium. RNAcentral describes it as "bacterial SSU rRNA". It matches the Rfam family "Bacterial small subunit ribosomal RNA", at positions 337 to 640 of the family's 1533-position model. The record is from RNAcentral.